GGGGGACAUUCCACGUUUUCCGCGCCGGGGCUAACGCAUUAAGUGCCCCGCCUGGGGAGUACGGCCGCAAGGCUAAAACUCAAAGGAAUUGACGGGGGCCCGCACAAGCGGCGGAGCAUGCGGAUUAAUUCGAUGCAACGCGAAGAACCUUACCAAGGCUUGACAUGUGCCAGACCGCUCCAGAGAUGGGGUUUCCCUUCGGGGCUGGUUCACAGGUGGUGCAUGGUUGUCGUCAGCUCGUGUCGUGAGAUGUUGGGUUAAGUCCCGCAACGAGCGCAACCCUCGUUCCAUGUUGCCAGCACGUAGUGGUGGGGACUCAUGGGAGACUGCCGGGGUCAACUCGGAGGAAGGUGGGGAUGACGUCAAAUCAUCAUGCCCCUUAUGUCUUGGGCUUCACGCAUGCUACAAUGGCCGGUACAAUGGGUUGCGAUACUGUGAGGUGGAGCUAAUCCCUAAAAGCCGGGUCUCAGUUCGGAUUGGGGUCUGCAACUCGACCCCAUGAAGUCGGAGUCGCUAGUAAUCGCAAAUCAGCAACGCUGCG
RNAcentral lists this ribosomal RNA (541 nucleotides) under Glutamicibacter nicotianae. RNAcentral describes it as "bacterial SSU rRNA". It matches the Rfam family "Bacterial small subunit ribosomal RNA", at positions 824 to 1361 of the family's 1533-position model. The record is from RNAcentral. Lineage: Bacteria; Bacillati; Actinomycetota; Actinomycetes; Micrococcales; Micrococcaceae.